UACGUAGGGUGCAAGCGUUGUCCGGAAUUAUUGGGCGUAAAGAGCUCGUAGGCGGUUUGUCGCGUCUGGUGUGAAAACUCAAGGCUCAACCUUGAGCUUGCAUCGGGUACGGGCAGACUAGAGUGUGGUAGGGGUGACUGGAAUUCCUGGUGUAGCAGUGAAAUGCGUAGAUAUCAAGAGGAACACCUGAGGUGAAGACGGGUUGCUGGGCUGACACUGACGCUGAGGAGCGAAAGCGUGGGGAGCGAACAGG
Molecule: ribosomal RNA, 253 nt
Filed under: uncultured bacterium
Lineage: Bacteria
Description: partial 16S ribosomal RNA
Rfam family: Bacterial small subunit ribosomal RNA
Source: RNAcentral